Non-coding RNA from Lactuca sativa (garden lettuce), 660 nucleotides. The record is from RefSeq and is a predicted model, not a curated record. NCBI's taxonomy places the organism in Eukaryota, Viridiplantae, Streptophyta, Magnoliopsida, Asterales, Asteraceae.
GGUAGGUUCCGAUUUCGUAUCAAAAGACUUCACCUUCAGGCGGAACAAAAAACUAGGGAUCAAUUCGAUUAAUCAGUAGCAAAAUUAAGACAUAAUCUCAAAACUUGGCAUGGAAAGAGUCUUGAAAUCCACUUCAGGUUCGUUCAUUAAGUUUCUACCCUCAUCGACGCACAAUAGAGGCUGGUUUCGUGGGUUCUUUCACCUUUACACCAACGACGGUGGAGCUAGAGAGAGAGUUUAUGGUGUGCAGUUAAUGCUAUUCAAAUAUGUUAUUUACCAGCCUCAUCCAGGUUUCAGAACCAACUUAUUCUCGAAUAAUCUCUGCUCAGAUCCAAUACCUUCCUUAUUCCUCAUUCAGUAUCCUCAUUCCUCACUUGAUCAGCGAAUCCAAUUCCCCUCCACCUUACUUCAACUCGAUCGGACUCGACUCACUUACUUAUACCCACUGGAACCGAUCAAGUAAGUUUAUCUUACACAAAUAAGACAUAACUAAAAAUAAUGAUGUUGAAGUUGAAGCACAAAGAGGCAGAUGGAAGGGAGAGGAGCAUGAUAGUUACUGCAGGUGAAUGCAGAAGUAUGUAGGUGUUGAUAUCACAUCAAUGGUGACUCUACCAGUACUCAUUUUUGAACCCAUGACAAUGCUACAGAAAAUGGCAGAGG